AUUGAACGCUGGCGGCAUGCCUUACACAUGCAAGUCGAACGGCAGCACGGGAGCAAUCCUGGUGGCGAGUGGCGAACGGGUGAGUAAAGUAUCGGAACGUGCCCAGUCGUGGGGGAUAACGUAGCGAAAGUUACGCUAAUACCGCAUACGAUCUAUGGAUGAAAGCGGGGGAUCGCAAGACCUCGCGCGAUUGGAGCGGCCGAUAUCAGAUUAGGUAGUUGGUGGGGUAAAGGCCCACCAAGCCAACGAUCUGUAGCUGGCCUGAGAGGACGACCAGCCACACUGGACAGGGGACACGGUCCAGACUCCACGGGGAGGCAGCAGGGGGGAAUUUUGGACAAGGGGCGAAAGCCUGAUCCAGCCUUUCCGCGUGAAGGAUGAGGGCCCUCGGGUUGUAAACUGCUUUUGAACAGAAGGAAAAGGUUUCUACUAAUACUAGGAGCUCAUGACGGUACAGUAAGAAUAAGCCCCGGCUAACUACGUGCCAGCCGCCGCCGUAA
Molecule: ribosomal RNA, 500 nt
Filed under: uncultured bacterium
Lineage: Bacteria
Description: partial 16S ribosomal RNA
Rfam family: Bacterial small subunit ribosomal RNA
Source: RNAcentral